Hordeum vulgare subsp. vulgare (domesticated barley) is the source of this 429-nucleotide long non-coding RNA. RefSeq lists it as uncharacterized. Lineage: Eukaryota; Viridiplantae; Streptophyta; Magnoliopsida; Poales; Poaceae. The record is from RefSeq and is a predicted model, not a curated record. The transcript is spliced from 3 exons.
CCCCUUCUCUAUCUUCCUUCUUCUCUGUCAAAUCAGUAGAGGGAAAACGAAGGAAUCGUUGUGCUCGUGAACUGCAGCGAGAGAAUGGGGGACGCUGCUGAUGGAGAUGUUGUUUGCGAAGUUUGUUUGAACCAUUGCGACUAUGAGAUCAAGCAAAGAUGCAUCAGCAUGUAUGUAUGGGAGAACUUUAAAACGCAGGGGUUGUGCCAUGCAAUUAAAGGGUCCACUUCAACAAGAUCACACAAAAGAAGGUGACGUUUAUUGCACUGUAAAGUGUUUGAAGGGUCGCAUACACAACGCAAUGUAUGGCAGUGGUUGGAGGAAAUUUUAUGUAGACAACAAGAUGGUGGUGGUUGCAUGUCCCACAAUAGGCACACAACUGCAACUAGUGUCCUUUCGUUUUGAUAGAGGGACACACAACUAGAUAGU